GAUGAAGAACGCAGCGAAAUGCGAUAAGUAAUGUGAAUUGCAGAAUUCAGUGAAUCAUCGAAUCUUUGAACGCACAUUGCGCCCCUUGGUAUUCCGAGGGGCAUGCCUGUUCGAGCGUCAUUAUAACCCUCAAGCUCAGCUUGGUGUUGGGCCUGCUGCACUGGCAGCCCUUAAAAUCAGUGGCGGCGCCAUCUGGCUCUAAGCGUAGUAAUUCUUCUCGCUAUGGAGUCCUGGUGGAUGCUUGCCAUCAACCCCCAAUUUUUCUAUGGUUGACCUCGGAUCAGGUAGGGAUACCCGCUGAACUUAAGCAUAUCAAUAAGCGGAGGA
RNAcentral lists this unclassified non-coding RNA (327 nucleotides) under soil metagenome. RNAcentral describes it as "partial contains 5.8S ribosomal RNA, internal transcribed spacer 2, and large subunit ribosomal RNA". The stretch from base 1 to 120 matches the Rfam family "5.8S ribosomal RNA", at positions 35 to 154 of the family's 154-position model. The record is from RNAcentral.